CUCGGUGAUUGACAGAGCGGAAAAAUGCUCCAGCGGUGACGAUAAAAGGCGGAAUAAUAGUGUGAAAGUUUGUUCUUUCGUUGUUAAGUGUUAAAGGAAGACCCAGCAGGAUUGGGGCUCGGUGUGUUGGAUCGGGACGGGGGUGUGUGGUUGUUUCGGGACGUGCGGGUGAGUGUUGUUGGUAAAUUCGGCGAGGUUCGUAAAUGUGCUAUAUGCUAAAUUGUUAGCUGACUAGCAUCGACUGUGCAGGAGCAGAGGAAGACUAGAGUCAGGAUGCACGUGCGAGGUCGGAUGUUAAUUUCAAGUUCCUGAGUGAGUAUCAGACUGCUUAUUGUUAUCUCAGGCACGUUGUGAGUGAGUACGCGUAUGUGAAGUUUUGUUUUUUGUGUGCUCUCAGUUUGCUUCGGAUACUGGCCACUCGCGCUGCGACAGUAGAGGUGCUCCGGACUUGCCGCGCCAGGGACUUCGGCAUGCGGACCGACUUUCUCCUUCUUCCAUUCUGUGCUUCAGUGAUGGUUAUAACAACACACUAAAUUUUCAAGGGACCGUGAGUACAAAUGACUUGGAAAUCACACCCACACAAGAGCUCCAACAGCGCGCCAACGUACGUGGUAACACAGACUGAUUUAUAAAAUCCCGGGUAUUAAGAACUAUAUUUUUUCUUCUCUUUCUAUUUCUUUAUCCUGUGAAUAAAUGUGAACAUUAGUGAAUUUAAA
Molecule: non-coding RNA, 716 nt
Organism: Xyrichtys novacula (pearly razorfish)
Lineage: Eukaryota; Metazoa; Chordata; Actinopteri; Labriformes; Labridae
Source: the annotation of a GenBank genome assembly